Molecule: long non-coding RNA, 285 nt
Filed under: Danio rerio (zebrafish)
Lineage: Eukaryota; Metazoa; Chordata; Actinopteri; Cypriniformes; Danionidae
Description: si:dkey-60a16.6 (ENSDARG00000096608.2)
Source: RNAcentral
GCCCAGCUGUGGCUGGCAGCUGGGCUGUACGGGGAGCUCAUGUCUUUGCCCAAACCCAUACCCGACUGCUGCUGCUGCGAUGGCGGGUUGCUGUAAUCUUGAUAGCCGCCACCGUAUCCCCGCAUCAUCGGACUCGGGGAUGUCAGGAGCUGGUUCAGGGAUUGCUAUCCUUUCUACAGUCUUCAGGAAUAUUUUUCACAAUUCUGAUUUCUUAAACUAUCUACCCAUCUCAGAUAGCAGCAGAUCCAUGUCGGAUUUUCCUAAGCGCCGCGGAAUUGGUCUGAA